CCUACGGGCGGCUGCAGUGGGGAAUAUUGGACAAUGGGCGAAAGCCUGAUCCAGCCAUGCCGCGUGUGUGAAGAAGGCCUUCGGGUUGUAAAGCACUUUCAGUGGGGAAGAAAGCCUUGGGGCUAAUACCCUCGAGGAAGGACAUCACCCACAGAAGAAGCACCGGCUAACUCCGUGCCAGCAGCCGCGGUAAUACGGAGGGUGCGAGCGUUAAUCGGAAUUACUGGGCGUAAAGCGCGCGUAGGCGGUCUGAUAAGCCGGUUGUGAAAGCCCCGGGCUCAACCUGGGAACGGCAUCCGGAACUGUCAGGCUAGAGUGCAGGAGAGGAAGGUAGAAUUCCCGGUGUAGCGGUGAAAUGCGUAGAGAUCGGGAGGAAUACCAGUGGCGAAGGCGGCCUUCUGGACCGACACUGACGCUGAGGUGCGAAAGCGUGGGUAGCAAACAGGAUUAGAUACCCGUGUAGUC
Molecule: ribosomal RNA, 465 nt
Filed under: Vreelandella stevensii
Lineage: Bacteria; Pseudomonadati; Pseudomonadota; Gammaproteobacteria; Oceanospirillales; Halomonadaceae
Description: partial 16S ribosomal RNA
Rfam family: Bacterial small subunit ribosomal RNA
Source: RNAcentral